GACACACAAAAGGCGUCGCGACUAGGAAAUUUAUUUUGGUAUUUAGACGGCAGUGUUUCGCGGUCGAUCCGCGGGUUGCUCAGUCUAACGAAAUAAAUUUCGCCACUAUUAUUAUAUUUUGGGUUCAUCGAUAUUCAAAAUCCGCAACACAUUGCGUACGUAAAAUUCCUUGUGACGUACUUAAUCAGAACAUCGAAGUCAGUUGGAUAUGCCUAAAGCUACAGUCCGAGUUGCAUAAUCACACUCAAUAAAGUGGACGUGGAGGCAAUUACCUGUGACAAGAAUCUGAUGACAACUGACACAAUAUAAUCAGUCACCACCAAGUCGAGUGACAAGAUCAACAGCCCCAACAGCGCUUUGCCUGGGAGGUUUGAGCAACUGCGGGUGGUUUCAUCAAAAAUUUGUUAUUAAAUCUUCUUGUUUCUUCUCUCGUUUCCGGUUUGCCUUCAUCACGGGAACGUGGGGAAAAUCCGAAGCACGCCCUUCCCGCAUGCAGCUGAGUGACCCAAAAGCACAGUUAAGUUAACCAAGCCAGUGUUAGACAGUGAUAAUUUUUGCUGUUAUUGACAACGCUGCGACAACGGAGAGCGAGCGGGAAUGUGACGAUGCAAACACAAUACAAAAUAUAGCAACG
Molecule: long non-coding RNA, 634 nt
Organism: Cylas formicarius (sweet potato weevil)
Lineage: Eukaryota; Metazoa; Arthropoda; Insecta; Coleoptera; Brentidae
Exons: 3
Source: RefSeq, a predicted model, not a curated record